UCUUUCUCUCUCUUUUUCUCGAUCGAUCUUGAACGUGUCUCUUUCUUUCUCUCACUUGUUUCUUAUUCAAGAGAUAGAGAGAGACAGAUAAGAGUCCUUGUCCUUUCUUUCGUCUUCCUUUUCUUUUAUUUCGUUUUUCGUCGUUAGGAGGACCACAUUCGUACGACGUCAAAAUCGUCACACUACUUCCCCCCUCCCCCUUCUACUUUUAGUCUCCGAACGAUAAAAUAAAUGGCUGAACUCGCGCUGUGAUGCAAUCCGCGUUGCGUCGAGACGCUGCAACGGGCAAUGUCAAGGACACGGCUGACGGCAUGCACGAGAGAGGGAAAGAGAGAGUGAACGGAUGAGUUUGUGUGUGUAGAGAGAGAGAGAGAGAGAAAGUGUAUCCGUGUGUCUACGAUGCACGCAAAAUUUAUUUCUAUGGGGUUAUGUACGGUGUAGAGAAAAAGUGAACAUGCAGAGACGCAGAAAGAAAAUAGGAAUUAUUAAACAUUGAAAAGCCAUCGACAACAAGUGGAAAUAAAAGAGCGCAAGAAGAAAAUCAAAAAAAGAAAAGAAAAGAAAAGAAUAUCUACGAACACCGUACGUUGCGUUUACCGAAGAGGACGAGCUCGUUCGUUCUUUAAAGAGGCCAACGACUCGCGAUGGCUGACCUCUUGGCGCUCUACCGCGUUACGUUCGAGACGCUUCUACGAAAAGAAAUCCCGAGAAUUUCACGGUCGACUAGGAUGACUUUUCGAGUGAGUAACGCGGCCAGCGAACGUGCAAGCAAUGAGCAAUCAUCGAUCGAUUCUAUCUCUAGUUUGGUUAUCGGACUAUAAUGAUUCGAUGAUUACGAUCGAACGGUAUUGACUACUUACCGGAUGACGUUGGUCUACGUCAUGCACGAGUCUUCGUUUUUUCCCGUUAAACCCGUCAACGUAUACCGUUCUUAGAAACCGUCUGCACUCUACUACAAUUGCAUCGAUGCUUCUAAUGAUAUCUGUACAAAAAAUGUAUGCACAUACGAACGUAAAUAAAACGGAAAAGAAAAAAAAAAAAAA
Long non-coding RNA from Vespula pensylvanica (western yellowjacket), 1043 nucleotides. RefSeq lists it as uncharacterized. NCBI's taxonomy places the organism in Eukaryota, Metazoa, Arthropoda, Insecta, Hymenoptera, Vespidae. The transcript is spliced from 4 exons. The record is from RefSeq and is a predicted model, not a curated record.